UCCAGACUCCUACGGGAGGCAGCAGUGGGGAAUAUUGCACAAUGGGGGAAACCCUGAUGCAGCGACGCCGCGUGAGUGAAGAAGUAUUUCGGUAUGUAAAGCUCUAUCAGCAGGGAAGAAAAUGACGGUACCUGACUAAGAAGCCCCGGCUAACUACGUGCCAGCAGCCGCGGUAAUACGUAGGGGGCAAGCGUUAUCCGGAUUUACUGGGUGUAAAGGGAGCGUAGACGGCAGGGCAAGUCUGAAGUGAAAGGCCGCGGCCCAACUGCGGGACUGCUUUGGAAACGGCCCGGCUAGAGUGCUGGAGAGGUAAGCGGAAUUCCUAGUGUAGCGGUGAAAUGCGUAGAUAUUAGGAGGAACACCAGUGGCGAAGGCGGCUUACUGGACAGUAACUGACGUUGAGGCUCGAAAGCGUGGGGAGCAAACAGGAUUAGAUCCCCCCGUA
RNAcentral lists this ribosomal RNA (445 nucleotides) under uncultured bacterium. RNAcentral describes it as "bacterial SSU rRNA". It matches the Rfam family "Bacterial small subunit ribosomal RNA", at positions 330 to 792 of the family's 1533-position model. The record is from RNAcentral.